This 519-nucleotide small RNA is filed under the name Pongo abelii (Sumatran orangutan). RNAcentral describes it as "processed transcript". The record is from RNAcentral. Lineage: Eukaryota; Metazoa; Chordata; Mammalia; Primates; Hominidae.
ACGGCCGCUGUGACGCUGCGGCGGCGGCGGGCGGGCGGCGGCGCGUGAGGCGCGCGAUCCCCGGUGUCUUGGGAGCAGUGCCCCGGCCCCCGCCGCUCCCGCCGCCGCCAUGUCGGGCCGGUCGGUCCGGGCGGAGACCCGCAGCCGGGCCAAGGACGACAUCAAGAAGGUGAUGGCGGCCAUCGAGAAAGUGCGGAAAUGACGAAAACAGCAACCAGAGUUCCGUGUCUGACGUCUAUCAGCUUAAGGUGGACAGCAGCACCAACUCAAGCCCCAGCCCCCAGCAGAGUGAGUCCCUGAGCCCAGCACACACCUCCGACUUCCGCACGGAUGACUCCCAGCCCCCAACCCUGGGCCAGGAGAUCCUGGAGGAGCCCUCCCUCCCCUCCUCGGAAGUUGCUGAUGAACCUCCCACCCUCACCAAGGAAGAACCAGUUCCACUAGAGACACAGGUUGUUGAGGAAGAGGAAGACUCAGGUGCCCCGCCCCUGAAGCGCUUCUGUGUGGACCAACCCACAG